UACGUAGGGGGCAAGCGUUGUCCGGAAUCAUUGGGCGUAAAGAGCGUGUAGGCGGCCCGAUAAGUCCGCCGUGAAAGUCCAGGGCUCAACCCUGGAAUGCCGGUGGAAACUGUCGGGCUCGAGUCCGGAAGAGGCGAGUGGAAUUCCUGGUGUAGCGGUGAAAUGCGCAGAUAUCAGGAGGAACACCAAUGGCGAAGGCAGCUCGCUGGGACGGUACUGACGCUGAGACGCGAAAGCGUGGGGAGCAAACAGG
This 253-nucleotide ribosomal RNA is filed under the name uncultured bacterium. RNAcentral's name for it is "partial 16S ribosomal RNA". It matches the Rfam family "Bacterial small subunit ribosomal RNA", at positions 524 to 776 of the family's 1533-position model. The record is from RNAcentral.